GUACCGUUCGAAUAGGGCGGUACCUUGACGGUACCUAACCAGAAAGCCACGGCUAACUACGUGCCAGCAGCCGCGGUAAUACGUAGGUGGCAAGCGUUGUCCGGAAUUAUUGGGCGUAAAGGGCUCGCAGGCGGUUUCUUAAGUCUGAUGUGAAAGCCCCCGGCUCAACCGGGGAGGGUCAUUGGAAACUGGGGAACUUGAGUGCAGAAGAGGAGAGUGGAAUUCCACGUGUAGCGGUGAAAUGCGUAAAGAUGUGGAGGAACACCAGUGGCGAAGGCGACUCUCUGGUCUGUAACUGACGCUGAGGAGCGAAAGCGUGGGGAGCGAACAGGAUUAAAUACCCUGGUAGUCCACGCCGUAAACGAUGAGUGCUAAGUGUUAGGGGGUUUCCGCCCCUUAGUGCUGCAGCUAACGCAUUAAGCACUCCGCCUGGGGAGUACGGUCGCAAGACUGAAACUCAAAGGAAUUGACGGGGGCCCGCACAAGCGGUGGAGCAUGUGGUUUAAUUCGAAGCAACGCAAAAAACCUUACCAGGUCUUGACAUCCUCUGACAAUCCUAGAGAUAGGACGUCCCCUUCGGGGGCAGAGUGACAGGUGGUGCAUGGUUGUCGUCAGCUCGUGUCGUGAGAUGUUGGGUUAAGUCCCGCAACGAGCGCAACCCUUGAUUUUAGUUGCCAGCAUUCAGUUGGGCACUCUAAGGUGACUGCCGGUGACAAACCGGAGGAAGGUGGGGAUGACGUCAAAUCAUCAUGCCCCUUAUGACCUGGGCUACACACGUGCUACAAUGGACAGAACAAAGGGCAGCGAAACCGCGAGGUUAAGCCAAUCCCACAAAUCUGUUCUCAGUUCGGAUCGCAGUCUGCAACUCGACUGCGUGA
RNAcentral lists this ribosomal RNA (878 nucleotides) under Bacillus subtilis. RNAcentral describes it as "bacterial SSU rRNA". It matches the Rfam family "Bacterial small subunit ribosomal RNA", at positions 453 to 1323 of the family's 1533-position model. The record is from RNAcentral. Lineage: Bacteria; Bacillati; Bacillota; Bacilli; Caryophanales; Bacillaceae.